AUGCUCGGUCGCAUCCGACACACUGUGCGGCAGACCUGCAAAUGCCCCUGGAAAACCAAAAUUCAGGACAAGUACAAGGGACGUUUCACUACAUACUUGCUCGGCAUGGUGAAAGACUCACCCACCGUAAUUUUCUAG
This 138-nucleotide ribosomal RNA is filed under the name Triticum aestivum (bread wheat). Its description in RNAcentral is "partial small subunit ribosomal RNA". The record is from RNAcentral. Lineage: Eukaryota; Viridiplantae; Streptophyta; Magnoliopsida; Poales; Poaceae.